GUUUGAGAGAUCCGGUUUCCCUGCAUCUAUUCAGGCAUCUGGUAUCGCUCCGAUUUCUUCCUGUAGCGGAGGCACAAGUGAGGCGCUCCUCCCACCAGCGCCUCUGCGUUUCCACUUGGAAAAUGGGAGGAUGGGGGGAUUAUUCACUUCGCGGUUAUACAACAAACCUUCCUCACUUCACGUCUUCCAUUAGCUGGAGAAGGGUAGUGUUUGCCAAAUAAGACAUGAGAUUGCCAAAAAUUUGUUAUAUGAAGUUCAAGUUUGAGUGUUUUGUAUUUUGUUUGCUAAGCCUUAGCAAUCCUAGAAAAACGCUGACCUCCCCGAACCUGGGAAGUCUGAUAGCACCACCUUCCAAAAGAGAUGAUUGGAUUAUUCCCACCAGCUGUAAGCUCCCAGGGAGCGACUACAUCUUCUUGUGCUUUUUCUUCCCCAAACAGAACAGAAUUAUCUCAAAUUCUAAAUUAGUUGUGUGGCUUCAUGAGGUUUUCUUUGAGAAAUGAAACUCCUUUCGGUAAAGGCCCUGGGCUCCCAGAGCCAGCACGGCUCCUGAAGGGAGACCCCGCAGUGCCUUUCCGGUGUGAUGCAGCCCUGGGCUGUGCCUCUGGCGCUGACCACGGGGCUUGGCCAGGCUGUCACUGUCUUCAGCACUGACCGGGAGAGCACGGCGCCACACCCCUGCAGACAGGAAAGGCAGCAUGCCUCCCUUCUACCCUCCCCCACAUCUGAGGACCAUCGCAGACCUGACGGUGCCCUCCUGUGCUGCAGGGUUGGGGCCCUGACGAAGGGCCCUCCAUCAGCUCUGGGUAACAAAAACCAAUUCUUGCCUGCUAAAGUUCCAAAAUUAAAGAAAACUCCAAAUACAGGGAUGAAGGAAAUAAUCUACAUCUUCCAAGGCUGUGGGGUACGAAGAAGUAUGUCGGAGUGAAACCCACGGAACUCUACACUGCAGAUCUGCGCAGGGCGCUAGAAAUUAACCAAACAGCAAUAAAAGAAACAUGAUAACAACA
This 1007-nucleotide long non-coding RNA is filed under the name Ursus maritimus (polar bear). RNAcentral's name for it is "lncRNA (ENSUMAG00000001766.1)". The record is from RNAcentral. Lineage: Eukaryota; Metazoa; Chordata; Mammalia; Carnivora; Ursidae.